AAGUCACUUUCCCAGUUGCUCCUCUCUUUCUUUGCAGGAAGGACUGUGGACAGAAACACCACGAGGGUCCUCGAAUCCAUACGGGGGGAGGUGGAGAGAAUUCUGAGGAGAACCUGUUGGACAUCGGCAAUCAACUAGGAAGGACUGUGGACAGAAACACCACGAGGGUCCUCGAAUCCAUACGGGGGGAGGUGGAGAGAAUUCUGAGUGAGAAGCUGACUGUGUUUCAUAACCAACUAGAAGUUUCACAGCAUGCUGCCCCACUUCUGGAGGAACGGGCCAACACCCAGGCUUCCCUCCAGGCAAUCUCUGAAAAUAUGCAAUCUCUGAUGGCAUCUUUGCAGAACGUGGAGGCAUCUAGAAAGCAAGACCUUGAGAUCCUCAGAGCAGAGAUGCAGGGCAAAAUAAGCAAGGAUUUGGAGGCAGCAAAGAGGUCCUGGUCUGAGGAGAACCUGUUGGACAUCGGCAAUCAACUAGGUGAGCACAUUGAUCCCCAAAGAAGCUUUUGACCUGUGGUUUUACCCUGGUGAGCAGUGAAACACUACACAGCUGCUGCUCAUGUUCCUCUAAGAGGAUGGGGGAGAGAAGUGGAAAGGUGAUAGUGAGAAAGCGCAUGGGUUGAGAUAUAGACAGUUUAAUAGGCAGGGUAAGAGAUAUGCUGCAAGCACAAGCAAAGCAAAAUUCAGAAGCCAUUCACUGCUUCUGAUUGGUGAGCAGAUGUUCUGCCAUCACAAGGAAAGCAAGGCUCCACCAGAGGUGGUACUUCGUGGGGAAGACCAGUGCAAAACACUAUGAAAGUCUCCCCUUCCUCCUUCUUCACCCCAGCUUUUAUUGCUGAGCAAGGUGUCAUAUGGGAUCCCUUUGGGCAGCCGCGGUCUGCUGUCCUGGCUGUGUUCCCUCACUGCAGCAUGGGCACCCCCAACACCCUCCCUGGCAGAGCAUGAUGACAAGCAGAGGGGCCCCUGACUGUGUGGAAGCACUGCCCAGAACAACUAAAUCAUCCACCAGUUAACAGCAACAUUUUCAUCACAAAUCCAAAACACCACGUCAUAGCAGCUCCAACGAAGACGCUUAAGCUAUGCCAGCCAAAAAACAGGAUGGCCUCCUGAAGGCAAAUGGUGUCAUUUGGUGACACCACUGUAUGGGCUAGUUUCUGGCAUUUCUUCCAUGAUACUGGGAAGGACAGCCCUUUCUUUUGGAGAGGUCUUGUGUCCCACUCCGAUGACACAGCCCCAUGACAGAGUAGUGCC
RNAcentral lists this long non-coding RNA (1250 nucleotides) under Anas platyrhynchos platyrhynchos (common mallard). RNAcentral describes it as "lncRNA (ENSAPLG00000030702.1)". Lineage: Eukaryota; Metazoa; Chordata; Aves; Anseriformes; Anatidae. The record is from RNAcentral.